GGAAUAUUGGGCAAUGGACGAAAGUCUGACCCAGCGACGCCGCGUGAGGGAAGAAGGUCUUCGGAUUGUAAACCUUAGUCAACAGGGACGAAACAAAUGACGGUACCUGUGGAGGAAGCCACGGCUAACUACGUGCCAGCAGCCGCGGUAAUACGUAGGUGGCAAGCGUUAUCCGGAUUUACUGGGUGUAAAGGGUGUGUAGGCGGGAUUGCAAGUCAGAUGUGAAAACUAUGGGCCUAACCCAUAGCCUGCAUUUGAAACUGCAGUUCUUGAGAGUCGGAGAGGUAAAUGGAAUUCCCGGUGUAGCGGUGAAAUGCAUAGAUAUCGGGAGGAACACCAGUGGCGAAGGCGAUUUACUGGACGACAACUGACGCUGAGACACGAAAGUGUGGGGAGCAAACA
RNAcentral lists this ribosomal RNA (402 nucleotides) under uncultured bacterium. Its description in RNAcentral is "bacterial SSU rRNA". It matches the Rfam family "Bacterial small subunit ribosomal RNA", at positions 358 to 774 of the family's 1533-position model. The record is from RNAcentral.